Molecule: ribosomal RNA, 397 nt
Filed under: uncultured Alphaproteobacteria bacterium
Lineage: Bacteria; Pseudomonadati; Pseudomonadota; Alphaproteobacteria
Description: bacterial SSU rRNA
Rfam family: Bacterial small subunit ribosomal RNA
Source: RNAcentral
GAACGCUGGCGGCAGGCCUCAUACAUGCAAGUCGAGCGGUCCUUCGGGACAGCGGCGAACGGGUUAGUAACGCGUGGGAACGUGCCCUUUAGUACGGAAUAGCCAUUGGAAACGAUGAUUAAUACCGUAUACGCCCCAAGGGGGAAAGAUUUAUCGCUAAAGGAUCGGCCCGCGUUAGAUUAGGUAGUUGGUAGGGUAAUGGCCUACCAAGCCGACGAUCUAUAGCUGGUUUGAGAGGAUGAUCAGCAACACUGGGACUGAGACACGGCCCAGACUUCUACGGAAGGCAGCAGUAGGGAAUCUUGGACAAUGGGCGAAAGCCUGAUCCAGCCAUGCCGCGUGAGUGAUGAAGGCCCUAGGGUUGUAAAGCUCUUUCGCCAGGGAAGAUAAUGACGGU